This 406-nucleotide ribosomal RNA is filed under the name uncultured bacterium. RNAcentral's name for it is "partial 16S ribosomal RNA". It matches the Rfam family "Bacterial small subunit ribosomal RNA", at positions 30 to 526 of the family's 1533-position model. The record is from RNAcentral.
AUUGAACGCUGGCGGCAGGCCUAACACAUGCAAGUCGAACGAGUGGCGGACGGGUGAGUAAUGUCUGGGACACUGCCCGAUGGAGGGGGCUAACUACUGGAAACGGUAGCUAAUACCGCAUACCAUCGGAUUUGCCCAGAUGGGAUUAGCUAGUGGGUGGGGUCACGGCUCACCUAGGCGACGCUCCCUAGCUGGUCUGAGAGGAUGCCCAGCCAGACGUGAACUGAGACACGGUCCAGACUCCUACGGGAGGCAGCAGUGGGGAAUAUUGGACAAUGGGGGAAACCCUGAUCCAGCCAUCCCGCGUGUGCGAUGAAGGCCUUCGGGUUGUAAAGCACUUUUGGCAGGAAAGCGGUACCUGCAGAAUAAGCACCGGCUAACUACGUGCCAGCAGCCGCGGUAAUAC